RNAcentral lists this ribosomal RNA (252 nucleotides) under uncultured bacterium. Its description in RNAcentral is "partial 16S ribosomal RNA". It matches the Rfam family "Bacterial small subunit ribosomal RNA", at positions 524 to 776 of the family's 1533-position model. The record is from RNAcentral.
UACGGGGGGUGCGAGCGUUGUCCGGAUUCACUGGGCGUAAAGGGCGCGUAGGCGGCUGACUCAGUCUGGUCUAUAAGGUGUGGGCUUACCCCGCACACGGAUUGGGGACGGGUUGGCUGGGGGUCGGUCGAGGGAAGCGGAAUGCCGGGUGUAGUGGUGAAAUGCGUAGAGAUCCGGCGGAACACCGGUGGUGAAGGCGGCUUCCUUGGCCGAACCCGACGCUGAGGCGCGAGAGCGCGGGGAGCGAACCGG